RNAcentral lists this ribosomal RNA (229 nucleotides) under uncultured bacterium. RNAcentral's name for it is "partial 16S ribosomal RNA". It matches the Rfam family "Bacterial small subunit ribosomal RNA", at positions 28 to 258 of the family's 1533-position model. The record is from RNAcentral.
GACGAACGCUGGCGGCGUGCUUAACACAUGCAAGUCGAGCGGUAAGGCCCUUUCGGGGGUACACGAGCGGCGAACGGGUGAGUAACACGUGGGUGACCUGCCUUUAGCUCUGGGAUAAGCCUGGGAAACUGGGUCUAAUACCGGAUAUGACUCCAUGAUGCAUGUUGUGGGGUGGAAAGCCUUGUGCGGCUGGAGAUGGGCCCGCGGCCUAUCAGCUUGUUGGUGGGGU